GAUGAACGCUGGCGGCGUGCCUAAUGCAUGCAAGUCGAGCGAACAGACCAUGAUCUUGCUCCUCUGACGUUACCAGCGGACGGGUGACUAACACGUGGACAACCUACCUAUAAGACUUGGAUAACUUCGGGAAACCGGAGCUAAUACCGGAUAAUAUAUUGAACCGCAUUGUUGGAUAGUUAAAGACGGUUUUGCUGUCACUUCUAGAUGUAUCCGCGUCGCAGUAGCUAGUUGGUAUGGUAACGCCUUACCAAGGAAACGGUGCGUAGCCGACGUCAGAGGGUGGUCGGCCAGAGUGGGACUGAGACCAGGUUCAGACUGCUACGGGAGGCAGAAGCAGGGAGUCGGCCGCAAUGGGCGAAAGUGUGACGGAGCAACGCGGCGGGAGCGGUGACGGUGCGCGGAUCGUGACGCUCUGUUAUUAGGGAAGAACAAAUGUGUAAGUAAAUAUGCACGUCGUGACGGUAGUUAAUCAGAAAGCCACGGCUAACUACGUG
Molecule: ribosomal RNA, 497 nt
Filed under: uncultured bacterium
Lineage: Bacteria
Description: partial 16S ribosomal RNA
Rfam family: Bacterial small subunit ribosomal RNA
Source: RNAcentral